RNAcentral lists this ribosomal RNA (253 nucleotides) under uncultured bacterium. Its description in RNAcentral is "partial 16S ribosomal RNA". It matches the Rfam family "Bacterial small subunit ribosomal RNA", at positions 524 to 776 of the family's 1533-position model. The record is from RNAcentral.
GACGUAGGGCGCGAGCGUUGUCCGGAUUUAUUGGGCGUAAAGAGCUCGUAGGCGGCUUGUUGCGUCGACUGUGAAAACCCGCGGCUUAACUUCGGGCUUGCAGUUGAUACGGGCAGGCUAGAGUUCGGUAGGGGAGACUGGAAUUCCUGGUGUAGCGGUGAAAUGCGCAGAUAUCAGGAGGAACACCGGUGGCGAAGGCGGGUCUCUGGGCCGAUACUGACGCUGAGGAGCGAAAGCGUGGGGAGCAAACGGG